GAUGAACGCUGGCGGCGUGCCUAAUACAUGCAAGUCGAGCGAACAGACGAGGAGCUUGCUCCUCUGACGUUAGCGGCGGACGGGUGAGUAACACGUGGAUAACCUACCUAUAAGACUGGGAUAACUUCGGGAAACCGGAGCUAAUACCGGAUAAUAUAUUGAACCGCAUGGUUCAAUAGUGAAAGACGGUUUUGCUGUCACUUAUAGAUGGAUCCGCGCCGCAUUAGCUAGUUGGUAAGGUAACGGCUUACCAAGGCAACGAUGCGUAGCCGACCUGAGAGGGUGAACGGCCACACGGGAAGGGGAACACGGUCCAGACUCCUACGGGAGGCAGCAGUAGGGAAUCUUCCGCAGUGGGCGAAAGCUUGACGGAGCAACGCCGCGUGAGUGAUGAAGGUCUUCGGAUCGUAAAACUCUGUUAUUAGGGAAGAACAAAUGUGUAAGUAACUAAGCACGUCUUGACGGUACCUAAUCAAAAAGCCACGGCUAACUACGUG
RNAcentral lists this ribosomal RNA (497 nucleotides) under uncultured bacterium. RNAcentral's name for it is "partial 16S ribosomal RNA". It matches the Rfam family "Bacterial small subunit ribosomal RNA", at positions 28 to 507 of the family's 1533-position model. The record is from RNAcentral.